CCCUUAGAUGUUCUGGGCUGCACGCGCGCUACACUGACACACUCAGCGAGUUCCUGUACCGAGAGGUUCGGGUAAUCAUGUGAGCGUGUGUCGUGAUGGGGAUAGAAUAUUGUAAUUAUUGCUCUUCAACGAGGAAUUCCUAGUAAGCGCAAGUCAGCAGCUUGCGCUGAUUACGUCCCUGCCCUUUGUACACACCGCCCGUCGCUCCUACCGAUUGGGUGAUCCGGUGAAUGACUCGGACUUUGACGUUCCUAGACACUAGGUUCGUCGAGGGAAGUUUUGUGAACCUUAUCACUUGGAGGAAGGAGAANUCGUAACA
This 319-nucleotide ribosomal RNA is filed under the name uncultured eukaryote. Its description in RNAcentral is "partial 18S ribosomal RNA". It matches the Rfam family "Eukaryotic small subunit ribosomal RNA", at positions 1470 to 1796 of the family's 1831-position model. The record is from RNAcentral.